This 253-nucleotide ribosomal RNA is filed under the name uncultured bacterium. Its description in RNAcentral is "partial 16S ribosomal RNA". It matches the Rfam family "Bacterial small subunit ribosomal RNA", at positions 524 to 776 of the family's 1533-position model. The record is from RNAcentral.
UACGGAGGGUGCAAGCGUUAAUCGGAAUUACUGGGCGUAAAGAGUGCGUAGGUGGUUGUAUAAGUUAUUUGUGAAAGCCCUGGGCUCAACCUAGGAAUGCCAAGUAAAACUGUAUGACUCGAGUAUAGGAGAGGGUAGUGGAAUUUCCGGUGUAGCGGUGAAAUGCGUAGAGAUCGGAAGGAACACCAGUGGCGAAGGCGACUACCUGGCCAGAUACUGACACUGAGGCACGAAAGCGUGGGGAGCAAACAGG